RGGUCAAGCCUGCCCGGUGACAAAGUUUAACGGCCGCGGUACCCUAACCGUGCGAAGGUAGCAUAAUCACUUGUUCUUUAAAUAGGGACUAGUAUCAACGGCAUCACGAGGGUUACACUGUCUCCUUUCCCCAAUCAGUGAAACUGAUCUCCCCGUGAAGAAGCGGGGAUAUAAAUAUAAGACGAGAAGACCCCAUGGAGCUUUAAGCUCAACAACACCUCGCUACAAAUAUACCACUGUAACCCACGAGCCCUGUCUGUUAGCUUUAGGUUGGGGUGACCGCGGAGUAUAAUAUAACCUCCACGACGAAUAGGCCUAAGACCUCUAUCCAAGARCCACUGCUCUAAGAAUCAUUAAAUUGACGUAAAAUGAUCCGAUUUUCGAUCAACGAACCAAGUUACCCUGGGGAUAACAGCGCAAUCCAUUUCAAGAGCCCCUAUCGACAAAUGGGUUUACGACCUCGAUGUUGGAUCARGGUAUCCUAGUGGUGCAGCCGCUACUAAAGGUUCGUUUGUUCAACGAUUAAAACCCUACAUGAUCUGAGUUCAAACCGG
This 554-nucleotide ribosomal RNA is filed under the name Tomopterna wambensis (Wamba sand frog). RNAcentral's name for it is "partial 16S ribosomal RNA". It matches the Rfam family "Bacterial large subunit ribosomal RNA", at positions 1850 to 2619 of the family's 2925-position model. Lineage: Eukaryota; Metazoa; Chordata; Amphibia; Anura; Pyxicephalidae. The record is from RNAcentral.